UUCGACACACUAUCAUUAACUGAAUCCAUAGGUUAAUGAGGCGAACCGGGGGAACUGAAACAUCUAAGUACCCCGAGGAAAAGAAAUCAACCGAGAUUCCCCCAGUAGCGGCGAGCGAACGGGGAGCAGCCCAGAGCCUGAAUCAGUGUGUGUGUUAGUGGAAGCGUCUGGAAAGGCGCGCGAUACAGGGUGACAGCCCCGUACACAAAAAUGCACAUGCUGUGAGCUCGAUGAGUAGGGCGGGACACGUGGUAUCCUGUCUGAAUAUGGGGGGACCAUCCUCCAAGGCUAAAUACUCCUGACUGACCGAUAGUGAACCAGUACCGUGAGGGAAAGGCGAAAAGAACCCCGGCGAGGGGAGUGAAAAAGAACCUGAAACCGUGUACGUACAAGCAGUGGGAGCACGCUUCGGCGUGUGACUGCGUACCUUUUGUAUAAUGGGUCAGCGACUUAUAUUCUGUAGCAAGGUUAACCGAAUAGGGGAGCCGAAGGGAAACCGAGUCUUAACUGGGCGUUAAGUUGCAGGGUAUAGACCCGAAACCCGGUGAUCUAGCCAUGGGCAGGUUGAAGGUUGGGUAACACUAACUGGAGGACCGAACCGACUAAUGUUGAAAAAUUAGCGGAUGACUUGUGGCUGGGGGUGAAAGGCCAAUCAAACCGGGAGAUAGCUGGUUCUCCCCGAAAGCUAUUUAGGUAGCGCCUCGUGAAUUCAUCUCCGGGGGUAGAGCACUGUUUCGGCAAGGGGGUCAUCCCGACUUACCAACCCGAUGCAAACUGCGAAUACCGGAGAAUGUUAUCACGGGAGACACACGGCGGGUGCUAACGUCCGUCGUGAAGAGGGAAACAACCCAGACCGCCAGCUAAGGUCCCAAAGUCAUGGUUAAGUGGGAAACGAUGUGGGAAGGCCCAGACAGCCAGGAUGUUGGCUUAGAAGCAGCCAUCAUUUAAAGAAAGCGUAAUAGCUCACUGGUCGAGUCGGCCUGCGCGGAAGAUGUAACGGGGCUAAACCAUGCACCGAAGCUGCGGCAGCGACGCUGAUGCGUUGUUGGGUAGGGGAGCGUUCUGUAAGCCUGCGAAGGUGUGCUGUGAGGCAUGCUGGAGGUAUCAGAAGUGCGAAUGCUGACAUAAGUAACGAUAAAGCGGGUGAAAAGCCCGCUCGCCGGAAGACCAAGGGUUCCUGUCCAACGUUAAUCGGGGCAGGGUGAGUCGACCCCUAAGGCGAGGCCGAAAGGCGUAGUCGAUGGGAAACAGGUUAAUAUUCCUGUACUUGGUGUUACUGCGAAGGGGGGACGGAGAAGGCUAUGUUGGCCGGGCGACGGUUGUCCCGGUUUAAGCGUGUAGGCUGGUUUUCCAGGCAAAUCCGGAAAAUCAAGGCUGAGGCGUGAUGACGAGGCACUACGGUGCUGAAGCAACAAAUGCCCUGCUUCCAGGAAAAGCCUCUAAGCAUCAGGUAACAUCAAAUCGUACCCCAAACCGACACAGGUGGUCAGGUAGAGAAUACCAAGGCGCUUGAGAGAACUCGGGUGAAGGAACUAGGCAAAAUGGUGCCGUAACUUCGGGAGAAGGCACGCUGAUAUGUAGGUGAGGUCCCUCGCGGAUGGAGCUGAAAUCAGUCGAAGAUACCAGCUGGCUGCAACUGUUUAUUAAAAACACAGCACUGUGCAAACACGAAAGUGGACGUAUACGGUGUGACGCCUGCCCGGUGCCGGAAGGUUAAUUGAUGGGGUCAGCGCAAGCGAAGCUCUUGAUCGAAGCCCCGGUAAACGGCGGCCGUAACUAUAACGGUCCUAAGGUAGCGAAAUUCCUUGUCGGGUAAGUUCCGACCUGCACGAAUGGCGUAAUGAUGGCCAGGCUGUCUCCACCCGAGACUCAGUGAAAUUGAACUCGCUGUGAAGAUGCAGUGUACCCGCGGCAAGACGGAAAGACCCCGUGAACCUUUACUAUAGCUUGACACUGAACAUUGAGCCUUGAUGUGUAGGAUAGGUGGGAGGCUUUGAAGUGUGGACGCCAGUCUGCAUGGAGCCGACCUUGAAAUACCACCCUUUAAUGUUUGAUGUUCUAACGUUGACCCGUAAUCCGGGUUGCGGACAGUGUCUGGUGGGUAGUUUGACUGGGGCGGUCUCCUCCUAAAGAGUAACGGAGGAGCACGAAGGUUGGCUAAUCCUGGUCGGACAUCAGGAGGUUAGUGCAAUGGCAUAAGCCAGCUUGACUGCGAGCGUGACGGCGCGAGCAGGUGCGAAAGCAGGUCAUAGUGAUCCGGUGGUUCUGAAUGGAAGGGCCAUCGCUCAACGGAUAAAAGGUACUCCGGGGAUAACAGGCUGAUACCGCCCAAGAGUUCAUAUCGACGGCGGUGUUUGGCACCUCGAUGUCGGCUCAUCACAUCCUGGGGCUGAAGUAGGUCCCAAGGGUAUGGCUGUUCGCCAUUUAAAGUGGUACGCGAGCUGGGUUUAGAACGUCGUGAGACAGUUCGGUCCCUAUCUGCCGUGGGCGCUGGAGAACUGAGGGGGGCUGCUCCUAGUACGAGAGGACCGGAGUGGACGCAUCACUGGUGUUCGGGUUGUCAUGCCAAUGGCACUGCCCGGUAGCUAAAUGCGGAAGAGAUAAGUGCUGAAAGCAUCUAAGCACGAAACUUGCCCCGAGAUGAGUUCUCCCUGACCCUUUAAGGGUCCUGAAGGAACGUUGAAGACGACGACGUUGAUAGGCCGGGUGUGUAAGCGCAGCGAUGCGUUGAGCUAACCGGUACUAAUGAACCGUGAG
This 2757-nucleotide ribosomal RNA is filed under the name Escherichia coli. RNAcentral's name for it is "partial 23S ribosomal RNA". It matches the Rfam family "Bacterial large subunit ribosomal RNA". The record is from RNAcentral. Lineage: Bacteria; Pseudomonadati; Pseudomonadota; Gammaproteobacteria; Enterobacterales; Enterobacteriaceae.